Molecule: ribosomal RNA, 301 nt
Filed under: uncultured bacterium
Lineage: Bacteria
Description: partial 16S ribosomal RNA
Rfam family: Bacterial small subunit ribosomal RNA
Source: RNAcentral
CAGUAGCCGCGGGAAUACAGAGGAUGCAAGCGUUAUCCGGAAUGAUUGGGCGUAAAGCGUCUGUAGGUGGCUUUUCAAGUCCGCCGUCAAAUCCCCGGGCUCAACCCUGGACAGGCAGUGGAAGCUACCAAGCUGGAGUACGGUAGGGGCAGAGGGAAUUUCCGGUGUAGCGGUGAAAUGCGUAGAGAUGUGGAGGAACACCAGUGGCGAAGGCGACUCUCUGGUCUGUAACUGACGCUGAGGAGCGAAAGCGUGGGGAGCGAACAGGAUUAGAUACCCCCGUAGUCCCUGUCUCUUAUAC